Molecule: non-coding RNA, 71 nt
Organism: Grammomys surdaster
Lineage: Eukaryota; Metazoa; Chordata; Mammalia; Rodentia; Muridae
Product: small Cajal body-specific RNA 18
Exons: 1
Source: RefSeq, a predicted model, not a curated record
UGGGAUGAUGACAUGAUCACUGCGCAAUCUGAGUUCUGGGAACCAGGUGAUGGAGUGUGCUGCUGAGGCCA